Molecule: ribosomal RNA, 478 nt
Filed under: uncultured Planctomycetales bacterium
Lineage: Bacteria; Pseudomonadati; Planctomycetota; Planctomycetia; Planctomycetales
Description: bacterial SSU rRNA
Rfam family: Bacterial small subunit ribosomal RNA
Source: RNAcentral
UUCGCAAUGCCCGAAAGGGUGACGAAGCGACGCCGCGUGUGGGAAGAAGGCCUUCGGGUUGUAAACCACUGUCGGGAGUUAGGAAAUGUAAGGGUGUUAAUAGCGUCCUUACUUGACUAAGGCUCCGGAGGAAGCCACGGCUAACUCUGUGCCAGCAGCCGCGGUAAUACAGAGGUGGCAAGCGUUGUUCGGAAUUAUUGGGCGUAAAGAGCACGUAGGCGGCCCUGCAAGUCAGUUGUGAAAGCCUUCUGCUUAACGGAAGAACAGCAGCUGAUACUGCAAGACUAGAGUGCGGAAGGGGAGAGUGGAACUUCUGGUGGAGCGGUGAAAUGCGUAGAUAUCAGAAGGAACACCGGCGGCGAAGGCGACUCUCUGGUCCGUAACUGACGCUGAGUGUGCGAAAGCUAGGGGAGCAAACGGGAUUAGAUACCCCGGUAGUCCUAGCCGUAAACGAUGGGCACUAAAUAGAGGGGUUUUA